GACGAACGCUGGCGGCGUGCCUAACACAUGCAAGUCGAGCGGGGACAAACGAGUAGCAAUAUGAGUUUGUUCUAGCGGCGGACGGGUGAGUAACGCGUGAGCAACCUGUCCCAGUCAGGGGGAUAACGAACCGAAAGGUUCCCUAAUACCGCAUGAGACCACAUUGCCACAUGGCAAAGGGGUCAAAGGAGUAAUCCGGACUGGGGUGGGCUCGCGUCUGAUUAGCUAGUUGGUGGGGUAACGGCCUACCAAGGCGACGAUCAGUAGCCGACCUGAGAGGGUGAUCGGCCACAUUGGAACUGAGAGACGGUCCAAACUCCUACGGGAGGCAGCAGUGGGGAAUAUUGGGCAAUGGGCGAAAGCCUGACCCAGCAACGCCGCGUGAAGGAAGAAGGUUUUCGGAUCGUAAACUUCUAUCCUUGGUGAAGAUAAUGACGGUAGCCAAGAAGGAAGCCCCGGCUAACUACGUG
RNAcentral lists this ribosomal RNA (470 nucleotides) under uncultured organism. RNAcentral's name for it is "bacterial SSU rRNA". It matches the Rfam family "Bacterial small subunit ribosomal RNA", at positions 28 to 507 of the family's 1533-position model. The record is from RNAcentral.